Molecule: ribosomal RNA, 460 nt
Filed under: uncultured bacterium
Lineage: Bacteria
Description: partial 16S ribosomal RNA
Rfam family: Bacterial small subunit ribosomal RNA
Source: RNAcentral
CCUACGGGUGGCAGCAGUGAGGAAUAUUGGUCAAUGGACGCGAGCCUGAACCAGCCAAGUAGCGUGAAGGAUGACUGCCCUACGGGUUGUAAACUUCUUUUAUAAAGGAGUAAAGUGAGGCACGUGUACCUUUUUGAAUGUACUUUAUGAAUAAGGAUCGGCUAACUCCGUGCCAGCAGCCGCGGUAAUACGGAGGAUCCGAGCGUUAUCCGGAUUUAUUGGGUUUAAAGGGAGCGUAGAUGGGUUGUUAAGUCAGUGGUGAAAGUUUGCGGCUCAACCGUAAAAUUGCAAUUGAUACUGUCAGUCUUGAGUACAGUUGAGGUAGGCGGAAUUCGUGGUGUAGCGGUGAAAUGCUUAGAGAUCACGAAGAACUCCGAUUGCGAAGGCAGCUUACUAAACUGCCACUGACAUUGAUGCUCGAAAGUGUGGGUAUCAAACAGGAUUAGAUACCCGGGUAGUC